RNAcentral lists this ribosomal RNA (782 nucleotides) under uncultured beta proteobacterium. Its description in RNAcentral is "bacterial SSU rRNA". It matches the Rfam family "Bacterial small subunit ribosomal RNA", at positions 67 to 841 of the family's 1533-position model. The record is from RNAcentral. Lineage: Bacteria; Pseudomonadati; Pseudomonadota; Betaproteobacteria.
CGGCAGCACGGGAGCAAUCCUGGUGGCGAGUGGCGAACGGGUGAGUAAUAUAUCGGAACGUGCCCAGUCGUGGGGGAUAACGCAGCGAAAGCUGUGCUAAUACCGCAUACGAUCUCUGGAUGAAAGCGGGGGACUCAGCAAUGAGCCUCGCGCGAUUGGAGCGGCCGAUAUCAGAUUAGCUAGUUGGUGGGGUAAAAGCCCACCAAGGCGACGAUCUGUAGCUGGUCUGAGAGGACGACCAGCCACACUGGAACUGAGACACGGUCCAGACUCCUACGGGAGGCAGCAGUGGGGAAUUUUGGACAAUGGGCGCAAGCCUGAUCCAGCAAUGCCGCGUGCAGGAUGAAGGCCUUCGGGUUGUAAACUGCUUUUGUACGGAACGAAACGGUUCGCUUUAAUACAGUGGGCUAAUGACGGUACCGUAAGAAUAAGCACCGGCUAACUACGUGCCAGCAGCCGCGGUAAUACGUAGGGUGCGAGCGUUAAUCGGAAUUACUGGGCGUAAAGCGUGCGCAGGCGGUGAUGUAAGACAGAUGUGAAAUCCCCGGGCUCAACCUGGGACCUGCAUUUGUGACUGCAUCGCUAGAGUACGGUAGAGGGGGAUGGAAUUCCGCGUGUAGCAGUGAAAUGCGUAGAUAUGCGGAGGAACACCGAUGGCGAAGGCAAUCCCCUGGACCUGUACUGACGCUCAUGCACGAAAGCGUGGGGAGCAAACAGGAUUAGAUACCCUGGUAGUCCACGCCCUAAACGAUGUCAACUGGUUGUUGGGUCUUCACUGACUC